This 454-nucleotide unclassified non-coding RNA is filed under the name Hevea brasiliensis (rubber tree). The record is from RNAcentral. Lineage: Eukaryota; Viridiplantae; Streptophyta; Magnoliopsida; Malpighiales; Euphorbiaceae.
UCUGUAAAAGGCCUAGAUUCUACUUCGUCUUCAAUAACCCGCAAGGUGCAGGAGGUUCUUAUUUCUUGCAAGGAAAUAAAGCCAGAUGAUGGAAAUGGACAUGACAGACCAGAAUUAAACCCAAAAUGGAUUAGUUUACUGACAAUGGCAAAAGCUUGCUUGUCGACAAUCUCUAUUGAAGAUACUUCUGGUACUGUGCGGAGAAGUAAGGACAACUUCAAAGAAAAGCUGAGAGAGCUUGGAGGACUUGAUGCGGUCUUUGACGUGGCAAGAAGUUGUCAUUCUGUUUUGGAGGGUUGGUCAAAGAAAAGUUCACAGUCUAUCGUAGAUUCUAAAGAUAAUACGGCCAUAGAAAGUCUGGUGCUACUCUUAAAAUGUUUGAAGAUCAUGGAAAAUGCAACCUUUCUUAGUACGGACAAUCAGAAUCACUUGCUUCAAAUGAAAGGAAAAUUUG